GCCGAUGUGGUGGAAUUGGUAGACACGCUAUCUUGAGGGGGUAGUAACAAAAGUUGUGCGAGUUCGAGUCUCGCCAUCGGCACCA
This 85-nucleotide transfer RNA is filed under the name Candidatus Kinetoplastidibacterium kentomonadis. RNAcentral's name for it is "Candidatus Kinetoplastibacterium sorsogonicusi tRNA-Leu". It matches the Rfam family "tRNA". Rfam says of the family: Transfer RNA (tRNA) molecules are approximately 80 nucleotides in length. Their secondary structure includes four short double-helical elements and three loops (D, anti-codon, and T loops). The record is from RNAcentral. Lineage: Bacteria; Pseudomonadati; Pseudomonadota; Betaproteobacteria.